AGGGAUUACAAAGUUUCAAUAACAACUUGAAACUGUUAAAACGAUAUGACCGACAACGUGGCGAAGACAAUAUGUACACUGUGUCGAUAACAUUUUCCGCCAACAAAAUCAGUCAAGCAGUAAAAACUUUCUCCUGACACCUUGGAUUUGUUGAGGUGAAGGCGCGAGUUGCCUACCGCUCAAGCAGCUUCGCCAGAAAAGAAGUCUCUUUCCAAGAGGGGAAAAUUCCUAACGGAUAUCCACGGCCAGGGCGAGCCGUUGACUAUGUCCGAUUCGCACGGACUGAAACCCCUGGGGCGUUCCUUGUCUCGCCUGGGGCGGAUCCACGGGGACGCUGAGCACUUCCACGAUCCCGCUGGCGUUUGCCCAAACCAGGUCCCGUCGCAUAAGUGACCUCCAAGAGGCUCCCUCGAACACAAGGUCACCUCCCUCGGGACCGUCCAAUGCCGACGAUAAAUCCCCCAAGGUUAAACACAUAACUCUGUCAAGUAUAUAAUUAUGUUGAAUAUACAAUCACGUAUAGUAGG
RNAcentral lists this unclassified non-coding RNA (527 nucleotides) under Melitaea cinxia (Glanville fritillary). Its description in RNAcentral is "misc RNA ENSMCXG00005008599.1". Lineage: Eukaryota; Metazoa; Arthropoda; Insecta; Lepidoptera; Nymphalidae. The record is from RNAcentral.